UAGGGAAUUUUCCACAAUGGGCGAAAGCCUGAUGGAGCAACGCCGCGUGCAGGAUGAAUGCCUUCGGGUUGUAAACUGCUUUUAUAUGUGACGAAUAUGACGGUAGCAGAUGAAUAAGGAUCGGCUAACUCCGUGCCAGCAGCCGCGGUCAUACGGAGGAUCCAAGCGUUAUCCGGAAUUACUGGGCGUAAAGAGUUGCGUAGGUGGCAUAGUAUGUCUGUAGUGAAAGCGUAGGGCUCAACCCUAUACACAUUAUAGAAACUGCUAAGCUAGAGGACGAGAGAGGUUAUUGGAAUUCCCAGUGUAGGAGUGAAAUCCGUAGAUAUUGGGAGGAACACCGAUGGCGUAGGCAGAUAACUGGCUCGUUCCUGACACUAAGGCACGAAAGCGUGGGGAGCAAACGGGAUUAGAUACCCCCGUAGUCC
RNAcentral lists this ribosomal RNA (425 nucleotides) under uncultured bacterium. RNAcentral's name for it is "bacterial SSU rRNA". It matches the Rfam family "Bacterial small subunit ribosomal RNA", at positions 355 to 796 of the family's 1533-position model. The record is from RNAcentral.